Molecule: long non-coding RNA, 425 nt
Filed under: Arachis ipaensis
Lineage: Eukaryota; Viridiplantae; Streptophyta; Magnoliopsida; Fabales; Fabaceae
Description: long non-coding RNA (AIPA_LNC001755)
Source: RNAcentral
AAGGAGACGCGCCGGCGUUGCUGGGUGUUGCCGCCGCCGUCGCAACCUUGCCGAGCCUUGGAGGGAGACCCCGCCGUUAAGCCGCGUCACCGUCGAACUCGUCCAACAGCGCCACCGCGCUCAGCCCUGUCUCGCGUCGCCACUGUGCCAUGCGUCACCGCCGUUCGCACUGUCAGUUUCGCGCAGGGGAAACCAUGGCCGUCGAGGGUCCAUCCACGCCGUAGUUGAAGCUUGAACGCCGCUGCAACCACCGCGUGUUAUCGUCUUCAAAUCGCCGCCGUUGGAGUCGCGAACAGAGAUCGCUCGCAAGGGAAAUCGUCGCGGAGCUUCCGUCUUCGCCGCGUGCUGGGCUCGCCGUCGUUCUGCCCGCGCAGUUGCUGCGUUGCCGGAGCUCCUCGCCGCCGCUGCUGGCCCCGGAAACCGCC